RNAcentral lists this ribosomal RNA (5064 nucleotides) under Tuber brumale (winter truffle). Its description in RNAcentral is "small subunit ribosomal RNA". The stretch from base 1 to 1526 matches the Rfam family "Bacterial small subunit ribosomal RNA". Lineage: Eukaryota; Fungi; Ascomycota; Pezizomycetes; Pezizales; Tuberaceae. The record is from RNAcentral.
AUAACAGCGAGUUUGAUGGUGGCUCUGAUUGAAUGCUAUUCAAAUGCUUGACACAUGCUAAUCGAACGCCUAGUUUAUUUAUAAUAAAAAACUAGAAAGUGGUGUACAGGUGAGGAAAGGGUAUGUUUACUGCCUUAGAGCAAGGAGAAAUACCUUAUAAAAACAAAGAAAUUAUUAAAUAAAUAAUUUUGCUUUAAGAUGUUAUCUUAAUACCUCGGGUAAGUAGAGUAGUAGUUAAAGUAAUGGUUUAACUAGCUUUAUCUCGUAGUCGAGUCUGAAAGGUCCUUCGACCACAUUGGAACUGAGACAAGUUCAAUGCGAUUUUUUUUGCACUGCAGUGGGGAAUAUUGGUCAAUAGCCUAACGGCUGAACCAGCGAUUUGAAGGAAUGAAGAUCUACUUUGAAAUAUAAGAAGACUAAAAUUCUGGUUAGUAAAAUGAUAAUGACAAUUUUCUAUCUAAAUGUCUUGACUAAUUCACGUGCCAGCAGUCGCGGUAAUACGUGAGAGACUAGCGUUAUUCAUAUUUAAUUGGUUUAAAGGGUUACUAGACGGUAAUUUUUGCCUUUGAAUGGGGACAGAGUUACUAGAGUUUUAUGUGAAAAGUAUAUUUAGAACUCAUGGUGUAGAACUGAUAAUUUAAAAUACUAUGGGGAAUGAUAAAGGCGAAGGCAAACUUUUAUGUAAAAACUGACGUUGAGGAACGAAGGCAAGGACAGUGAAUAGGAUUAGAACCCUAGUAACCCUAGCAGAAAAUGAUGAGUGCCAUAGGUUGUAUUAAAUUUAAAUCGCCUAUAAAUGAAAAUGUAAGCAUUCCACCUCAAGAGUAAUGUGGCAACACAGAAACUGUAACCAUUAGACCAACUCCGAAACUAGUAGUGAAGUGUGUUAUUUAAUUCGAUGAUCCACGAAAAAUCUUACCACAAUUUGAAUAUUUAGUGACAAGAAAUUAAUUUAAUUUUUGUAAAAAAAAUAAUGUUUUUUUACUUCUUUUUACAAGUGUUGCACGGCUGUCUACAGUUGUUGCCGCGAGGCUUUGGUUGGCUCCAACAAGUGACGUACACCCUAAUUUUAUUUAAAACUAAUUUCAUUUUAUGAAAUAAAUUAUAAAGUUAUUCAUCUUGAUAUGAGAUGUAUUUAUGGGAUAAAGACAAGUCCUCAUGACCUUAAUAUUGUGGGCUAUAGACGUGCCACAUUAGCUAAAACAAAGGGAUGCUAAAAUGUGAAUAUUCGCUAAUCCCUAAACAGGAUAUAAUAUGGAUUGUAUGUCUGAAACUCGACUACAUGAAUAAGGAAUUACUAGUAAUCGUGCAUCACCAUGGCACGGUGAAACUUAUCUCGGAUAGGUACUAACUACUCGUCAAGCACUGAAAGGAGCACACGCAAUAAGUUGAGUUUAGUUUAAAUCAUAAUAUAGUAAUUAGACUAUUAAGAUGGUUUAGGAUAGAUUUUCGAAUGUAUGGCUGCAAUUGGUGUUAAGUCGAAAUACGGUUGUUGUAGAGGAAUCUGCAGCGGACUUAUAAAAAAAUUAACAAUACCCCCCUAGUCAACUUUAUAUAGGUAAAAAGUUCUGGUUCAAAUCCGGAAUAAAGUAAUGUUUUUUACUAGUAACACAUUUUUAUUGAAUAUCAAUGCGGGCACUUUGAGCCCAGAAAGAAAAUUAUUAAGGGUAGUCACUCUUAUACUGCUAUGUUAUGACAGCUUCUAUAUUAGAAUAUUCGACACAGUAAUAGGCAUAUAUGAUGAUUUAUUCCAUUCAGCGUCCAUAACGUAUAGUUUUGCCCUUUUAGUAGGAGCUAUUAUGUUACAAUUAGUUGAUUUUUACCCCAGACGUUUACAAGAACCAAUGGGACAAACGUAAAGAAAAUAUCUUUAUCUUCAACAAAUAUUUCAAUUAUUCUUAUUUUACUUGCUUUAUUAUUAUUCUUAGAAAACUUUUCUUUGGAUUCUUCCCUUUACUUAUUAAUUUUUCCUAUUAAAACUUAUAAAAAUCUAGCGAUUCCAGAUAACCAAAAAGAAAUUAUUAAAGAAAACAUAGGGCUGUCAGCCGUUUAUUGUUGGAAAAAAUGAUAAAAAUAAAUUACUGAACAAUUUGGCGGUACAGUGGAAAAAUUAAAUCCUUGGUUUAUUACUGGUUUCAGCGAUGGGGUGAGCACUUUCACAAUUUCAAUUACUAAAGACAAUCGGACAAGAAAAACAACUAGAAGGAUAGACUCUGAAAGAAUAAUCUAUGAAAAUACAAUAAUUAAAAUGGGAGAACAAUUUAGAAUUUUUGAAUUGCCCUUUAUUAUACUGGGAAUAUUUUUAAUGUCUAGUAGUGAUUUAGUUUCUAUGUUUUUAGAAAUACAAUUCCAAAUUUUCUCCGCAGUCAGGUCUUUAUGAAUUUUAUUUGUCGAUAUUUCCUUAGGUUCUGCUUUUCUUUGCGCUCUUAUUCCAAUCAAAAGUUAUUCUAACGUUGAGGCUGAGAAAGAUAAAAUUAUUCAAGAUAAUAAUAAUAAAUCAGGUAUUUAUUGCUUCAGAAAUUUUAAAAAAUGGAUACAAAUAUAUAGGCUUUAAGAAGAAGAUUUGUGAGUUAUUUUAAUACUAACUAUUUAAUUAGAAAUAAAUCGAUGGCCAUUUCUUGUGCUCUGCUUAAACACGGAUAUCAAAAUUUUUCUCUUGAGAUUCUUAAAUAUUGUGAAGUUUCUGAGCUUAUAAAAAGGGAAAAGGAUUUAAUUGAGUUAUUCAACUCAGAAUACAACAUAGUUAAGGAUCCAACUAAAAAUCCAAUGUUUGGACGUAAACACUCUGAUGAAACUCGUCAAAAAAUGUCUUAUGAUAGGACAGGUUCUAAACGUUCAGAUGAAACUAGAAAAAAAAAUCUACCCUUCGGGAGGAAAAAAGAAAAUUCUAGUCGUUUUAAACCAGCCUCAGCCUCCGGCAGGUGAGAAAAUCAUUCUAAUUUCUCCCUCCCGUAGGGCAAGGGUGGAAACAAAAACACAAAGGAGCAGGAAAGCCCUCUCAAAAAAUAGAAGUUUUUAGUAUAAAUACAAAGGAAUUAAUUACCUAUGAUUCUAUUAGUGAAGCAGCAAGAGCUUUAGAUAUUCCUUUUCAAUCAAUUGUUAGUUACUUAAAAAAAAAUAGAAAGGAGCCAUAUAAAGGAAUAUAUAUUUUCAAGAAGAUAAAAAAGCAACCUUACCCGGUAUAGCCAACCCUUAAAAGAUUCGUUCCUUUAUUAAAAUCGUGUUAAGUUAAAUAUUUCCUUGUUGAUUUGCCAUAUCUUUAAAUUUCAAAGAUAAUAACUUUUUAUAUAACUUGCAAUCUUACUUUGGAGUAGGAAAAAUAAAAAAUGAUUUACAAAAUAAUGCAAUUGUUUAUUAUGUAAAUUCAAUUCAAGAUUUAACAAAUGCAAUAAUACCCCAUUUCGAGAAGUAUCCUCUAUUAACUCAGAAACAUGCUGAUUUUUUAUUAUUUAAACAAGUUGUAUACCUCAUAAAUAAAAAAGAGCAUCUGACUAGUGAAGGAUUAGCUAAAAUUCUGGCCCUAAAAGCGUCUAUGAACAAUGGUUUAUCUCCUGCCAAUGGGUGGAAAAUUAAAAGAAUUUUUCCCUCAUAUUGCACCAGUUCCAAGACCCUUAGUUGAAAAUCAAGAAAUUCUUGAUCCUAAUUGACUCGCCGGUUUCACUAGUGGGGAUGGAUAUUUUGAUGUUAUAAAAGGGGCCUCCGGCGUGGAAAAAAUAAAUAUAAUAAAAUCAGAAAUGAAUUUUAGUCCUAUUAAGAGUUAUAUAAAUAUCCUAGAAAAUAAAAAACAAAUUUUCUUAGAAAAUAAGAAUCAAUCAGGUAUUUAUAUUUUUACAAAUUUAAUCAAUGGAAAAAAUAUAUCGGAAGUUCCUAUAAUUUAAGAAGAAGAUUUUCUCCCUCCGGGGCCUCCGGCGGAGUAUUUAAAUAUUAAUCAUUUAAUUCGAAAUAACUCUAUGUAUAUCUGUCGUUCCUUAUUUAAACCUGGAUAUUCUAAUUUUAUAUUAGAAAUUCUAGAGUACUGUGAACCUUCUAAACUUUUAGAAAGAGAAAAAUAAUUUUUUGAUCUCUUAUCUCCAGAGUACAAUCUCUCUCAAAAUCCUAUUUCUUCCUUUUUGGGCCAAAAACAUUCCCCUGAGGCUAGUUUCUAGACAAAAAAUGUCAGAGGCUAAGAAGGGAAAAUCAAGGAUUCUUUCGGAUGAUCAUAAAGCUGCUAUUCGUGCUUCUAUGAUUGGAAACACAAAUAAUAAAAAUCAAUCUAAGGCUCAAAAAAUAAAAGUUCUAGAUCUAACAACAAAUGAAUCAACUAUUUUUUCUUCUAUCAACGAGGCUGCAAGAGCUUUAAAUUUAAGUCCUCCUACUAUUGCUUAUCAUCUUAAAUCUGAAAGUACAAAAGCUUGUAAAAAUCGUUAUUUUUUUUUUCACACGUCUAUAAUUAGUAUUUUCCUGAGAUCUCCCCAAAACAAACAAAAAACUGCGUCUUUCUUCACCAAUUCUUAGGCCUUCUUCUCCUUUUCCUCUCCCAAUUAAACAAAAUGGGUUUAAUAAUACGUUAAACCUAACCAUAAGAAGAGAGGAAAACUCCUAUAUUAACGACAAAAAACCAUUCGACUAUUUAAAUGCACUUUCUUAUCUUGAUAAAAAAAAAAGAUAUGAAUAAAGUUGCUUUUUUAUAGACAGGAAACCUCUCGGUCAUUUUUAUCGAAUAUGUUAAAACUAUUCGAGUAAAUAAUAAUGGCUGGUUAGUCUUCCUGCUUAUGAGCAGGUUUCAUAAUUAAAAAGGCAAGAUUGUGGAGCCCCUAUUUUAAUAAUGGGUAACGGGAAGCUGAUCCGCGAGGAUAGUGGGCCGUAGCAGUAGAAAUACUGGCUUGAGAGGACAGAAAGCCGCAGUCGGUAUUGAGGAUAGAUAUUAUUUAACUUUCCUCAGUGCUUAAGGUGUAAACAGCUGAAUGAAUAAUAGCUUAUAAAAGCUUCUUACGGUAAAUUUUUGUUUCUUUAGGCCGUUUUAGAAUAAUCAUCAGUUGGAAAUACGGUUAGGGUAAAGGAAUUUGCUCUGGACUUAUACAAAAU